AGUAUUGGAGAAACAUGUACAAGUUGUUCUUCACAAGAAAGAAUGGAUGAGAUAGAAGAUAAUAUAGAUAUAGACGACAAUAUUAAUAUGGAUGUAGAUGAAGAAGAUGUUAUUGGUAACGAAAUACAUUUGCCUUCCAAGGGAUGAGAAUGGCAAAAAUUCUCAUUGAGACGGUUCUAAAAGAAUAUCCCAAUACGACGAAGAAUGAGA
This is a long non-coding RNA of Linepithema humile (Argentine ant), 210 nucleotides long. RefSeq lists it as uncharacterized. The record is from RefSeq and is a predicted model, not a curated record. Lineage: Eukaryota; Metazoa; Arthropoda; Insecta; Hymenoptera; Formicidae.